GAUGAAGAACGUAGCGAAAUGCGAUAAGUAAUGUGAAUUGCAGAAUUCAGUGAAUCAUCGAAUCUUUGAACGCACAUUGCGCCCGUCAGUAUUCUGGCGGGCAUGCCUGUUCGAGCGUCAUUACGCCCCUCAAGUCCCCUGUGGACUUGGUGUUGGGGAUCGGCGAGGCUGGUUUUCCAGCACAGCCGUCCCUUAAAUUAAUUGGCGGUCUCGCCGUGGCCCUCCUCUGCGCAGUAGUAAAACACUCGCAACAGGAGCCCGGCGCGGUCCACUGCCGUAAAACCCCCCAACUUUUUAUAGUUGACCUCAAAUCAGGUAGGACUACCCGCUGAACUUAAGCAUAUCAAUAAGCGGAGGA
RNAcentral lists this unclassified non-coding RNA (358 nucleotides) under soil metagenome. Its description in RNAcentral is "partial contains 5.8S ribosomal RNA, internal transcribed spacer 2, and large subunit ribosomal RNA". The stretch from base 1 to 120 matches the Rfam family "5.8S ribosomal RNA", at positions 35 to 154 of the family's 154-position model. The record is from RNAcentral.